GUGCUCGCUUCGGCAGCACAUAUACUAAAAUUGGAACAAUACAAGAGAUUAGCAUGGCCCCUGUGCAAGGAUGAAAAAUCAAAACAAAGUGAAACUGAUUAAUCCUUUUUU
This is a small nuclear RNA of Suncus etruscus (white-toothed pygmy shrew), 111 nucleotides long. NCBI's taxonomy places the organism in Eukaryota, Metazoa, Chordata, Mammalia, Eulipotyphla, Soricidae. The record is from RefSeq and is a predicted model, not a curated record.